Molecule: ribosomal RNA, 278 nt
Filed under: uncultured bacterium
Lineage: Bacteria
Description: partial 16S ribosomal RNA
Rfam family: Bacterial small subunit ribosomal RNA
Source: RNAcentral
GCGUGGAGGACGAAGGUUUUCGGAUCGUAAACUCCUGUCCAGAGGGACGAAGCCAGUGACGGUACCUCUGGAGGAAGCCCCGGCUAACUCCGUGCCAGCAGCCGCGGUAAUACGGGGGGGGCAAGCGUUGUUCGGAAUUACUGGGCGUAAAGGGCGCGUAGGCGGCCUCGGAAGUCAUGGGUGAAAGCCCCGGGCUCAACCCGGGAAUGGCCUGUGAAACCACGGGGCUGGAGUGCUGGAGAGGGAAGCGGAAUUCCCAGUGUAGCGGUGAAAUGCGU